RNAcentral lists this ribosomal RNA (616 nucleotides) under uncultured bacterium. RNAcentral's name for it is "bacterial SSU rRNA". It matches the Rfam family "Bacterial small subunit ribosomal RNA", at positions 202 to 814 of the family's 1533-position model. The record is from RNAcentral.
CAAAGGGAGCAAUCCCGGCCACGGAUGGGCAUGCGGCGCAUUAGCUAGUCGGCGGGGUAACGGCCCACCGAGGCGACGAUGCGUAGGGGUUCUGAGAGGAAGGCCCCCCACACUGGUACUGAGACACGGACCAGACUCCUACGGGAGGCAGCAGUGAGGAAUAUUGGUCAAUGGGCGCGAGCCUGAACCAGCCAAGUCGCGUGAGGGAGGACGGCCCUACGGGUUGUAAACCUCUUUUGCCGGGGAGCAACGGGCGUCACGUGUGGCGCCACUGAGAGUACCCGGAGAAAAAGCAUCGGCUAACUCCGUGCCAGCAGCCGCGGUAAUACGGAGGAUGCGAGCGUUAUCCGGAUUUAUUGGGUUUAAAGGGUGCGUAGGCGGAUCGUUAAGUCAGUGGUCAAAUUGAGGGGCUCAACCCCUUCCCGCCAUUGAAACUGGCGUUCUUGAGUGGAAGAGAAGUAUGCGGAAUGCGUGGUGUAGCGGUGAAAUGCAUAGAUAUCACGCAGAACCCCGAUUGCGAAGGCAGCAUGCCGGCUUCCGACUGACGCUGAAGCACGAAAGCGUGGGGAUCGAACAGGAUUAGAUACCCUGGUAGUCCACGCGGUAAACGAUGAGC